RNAcentral lists this small RNA (568 nucleotides) under Pan troglodytes (chimpanzee). RNAcentral describes it as "retained intron". The record is from RNAcentral. Lineage: Eukaryota; Metazoa; Chordata; Mammalia; Primates; Hominidae.
UUCUUUGGUGAGAUUAUGUCCACACUUAUUCUUUCAGCUUUCUUAAAGAGAAUAUUCAGUUUUAAAGAUCAUAGCCACUUGUUUUGAGAUUUAUGUAUUAGCUUCGGAGAUCAGAACAUAAGAAUUUGGGGUAUGCAAGUCAACUCCCUCACUUUCUUUUAAAAAUCCUGGGAAAUCCAUUAUACCUUCUGUGCCUGAUUUUCUUCCUUUGCAAGUGGGUUGCUUGGCGUCCAGCUCAGCCACUAAUGCAAGUCACCACAACAGGUACGUCUUCAAAUACCAUCUCAGCAGGCUGGGAGCCAAAUGAAGAAAAUGAAGAUGAAAGAGACAGACACCUCAGUUUUUCUGGAUCAGGCAUUGAUGAUGAUGAAGAUUUUAUCUCCAGCACCAUUUCAACCACACCACGGGCUUUUGACCACACGAAACAGAACCAGGACUGGACCCAGUGGAACCCAAGCCAUUCAAAUCCGGAAGUGCUACUUCAGACAACCACAAGGAUGACUGCAGAUGUAGACAGAAAUGGCACCACUGCUUAUGAAGGAAACUGGAACCCAGAAGCACACCCUCC